CGCGGCCGCCGCCGCCCGGACCGCCGGGACCGCCAGGACCGCUGCAGAGCGCCGGCCCUAGACGGUGGCCCGCGCCCCAGAUUCUCCUCGGCUCGGCCGCGCGUAUAUUUCCCUUCCUCCAUGAUCUCCAGCACUGAUAAAGUAGAAGAAACUGAGGUACCAGGAAAGAGAAAAGUAACUGGGACUGAGUUAUGGAGAUUGCACCCAGGACCUAGCACGUGCCAG
Molecule: long non-coding RNA, 225 nt
Organism: Urocitellus parryii (Arctic ground squirrel)
Lineage: Eukaryota; Metazoa; Chordata; Mammalia; Rodentia; Sciuridae
Source: RefSeq, a predicted model, not a curated record